AGUGAACGCUGGCGGUAGGCCUAACACAUGCAAGUCGAACGGCAGCACAGUAAGAGCUUGCUCUUACGGGUGGCGAGUGGCGGACGGGUGAGGAAUACAUCGGAAUCUACUUUUUCGUGGGGGAUAACGUAGGGAAACUUACUCUAAUACCGCAUACGACCUACGGGGGAAAGCAGGGGAUCUUCGGACCUUGCGCGAUUGAAUGAGCCGAUGUCGGAUUAGCUAGUUGGCGGGGUAAAGGCCAACCAAGGCGAGGAUCCGUAGCUGGUCUGAGAGGAUGAUCAGCCACACUGGAACUGAGACACGGUCCAGACUCCUACGGGAGGCAGCAGUGGGGAAUAUUGGACAAUGGGCGCAAGCCUGAUCCAGCCAUACCGCGUGGGUGAAGAAGGCCUUCGGGUUGUAAAGCCCUUUUGUUGGGAAAGAAAAGCAGCAGGUUAAUACCCCGCUGUUCUGACGGUACCCAAAGAAUAAGCACCGGCUAACUUCGUG
Molecule: ribosomal RNA, 492 nt
Filed under: uncultured bacterium
Lineage: Bacteria
Description: partial 16S ribosomal RNA
Rfam family: Bacterial small subunit ribosomal RNA
Source: RNAcentral